UCUAGAGGCUUCGGCAAUAGGGGAAACCCUGACCGAGCGACGCCGCGUGCGGGAUUGAAGGUCGUAAGAUUGUAAACCGCUGUCAGCAGGGAAGAAUGUCUGAAUGGUGAAUUCAGAAGCGACGGUACUUGCAGAGGAAGCCCCGGCUAACUCCGUGCCAGCAGCCGCGGUAAUACGGAGGGGGCAAACGUUGUUCGGAAUUACUGGGCGUAAAGGGUGCGUAGGCGGUUCGGCAAGUCUGAUGUGAAAUCUCCUCGCUCAACGAGGAAACGGCAUUGGAAACUGCCGGGCUGGAGGAUGGGAGAGGCAGGUGGAAUUCCUGGUGUAGCGGUGGAAUGCGUAGAUAUCAGGAAGAACACUCGUGGCGAAGGCGGCCUGCUGGCCCAUUUCUGACGCUCAAGCACGAAAGCCAGGGGAGCAAACG
This 424-nucleotide ribosomal RNA is filed under the name uncultured prokaryote. RNAcentral's name for it is "bacterial SSU rRNA". It matches the Rfam family "Bacterial small subunit ribosomal RNA", at positions 355 to 774 of the family's 1533-position model. The record is from RNAcentral.